CAAACACCAGUGAUGGGAACACUGAACCUCACAUAAGAAGCACAUGAAGAACAGCAGUGAAACCAAGGAUUCUAGCAAGGCCAGCUAUUAGCAAAGCAGUAAGCAGGAACUGGACUAGAUACCAAAUGAUGGGGAAACAGACUCAUAGACCUAAGAACAUAGGAAGAAGAGAUGUAACAUCAACAGAAAGGCAAAAGGCAAUUGGAAUGGAGAAUCUGGACGCCAGCAGC
RNAcentral lists this long non-coding RNA (230 nucleotides) under Homo sapiens (human). RNAcentral's name for it is "HSALNT0058725". Lineage: Eukaryota; Metazoa; Chordata; Mammalia; Primates; Hominidae. The record is from RNAcentral.